CUGCAAAUGGAACUCAGGGGCU
This 22-nucleotide non-coding RNA is filed under the name Arabidopsis thaliana (thale cress). The record is from RNAcentral. Lineage: Eukaryota; Viridiplantae; Streptophyta; Magnoliopsida; Brassicales; Brassicaceae.